Pipra filicauda (Wire-tailed manakin) is the source of this 258-nucleotide long non-coding RNA. RefSeq lists it as uncharacterized. Lineage: Eukaryota; Metazoa; Chordata; Aves; Passeriformes; Pipridae. The transcript is spliced from 3 exons. The record is from RefSeq and is a predicted model, not a curated record.
CACAAAUGCCACAUCUACAUGUGUUUGAACACUUGCAGAGAUGCUCUACCCUUCCCACUCAGGAAUCUGGAAGGAGCAUGGCUGAAAAAUGAGAAUUUGGGGCUUCCUGUGGCCGUGGGACAGGUCUCCAUCCCUGAGGAGCAGGAAAACUUGGAUGUUUGGCCUUUUUGCCCACUGCAGGGGAAACUUUCCAUCAUGAUUUUUCUUUCCUCUCCUCUUUGGAGCUAAAACUCUCCUGAAUAAACAAGAAUGUGUACU